This 241-nucleotide ribosomal RNA is filed under the name uncultured Staphylococcus sp. RNAcentral's name for it is "partial 16S ribosomal RNA". It matches the Rfam family "Bacterial small subunit ribosomal RNA", at positions 99 to 334 of the family's 1533-position model. The record is from RNAcentral. Lineage: Bacteria; Bacillati; Bacillota; Bacilli; Caryophanales; Staphylococcaceae.
CGGACGGGUGAGUAACACGUGGAUAACCUACCUAUAUGACUGGGAUAACUUCGGGAAACCGGAGCUAAUACCGGAUAAUAUAUUGAACCGCAUGGUUCAAUAGUGAAAGACGGUUUUGCUGUCACUUAUAGAUGGAUCCGCGCCGCAUUAGCUAGUUAGUAAGGUAACGGCUUACCAAGGCAACGAUGCGUAGCCGACCUGAGAGGGUGAUCGGCCACACUGGAACUGAGACACGGUCCAG